RNAcentral lists this transfer RNA (60 nucleotides) under marine eukaryotic metagenome. It matches the Rfam family "tRNA", at positions 8 to 63 of the family's 71-position model. Rfam says of the family: Transfer RNA (tRNA) molecules are approximately 80 nucleotides in length. Their secondary structure includes four short double-helical elements and three loops (D, anti-codon, and T loops). Further hydrogen bonds mediate the characteristic L-shaped molecular structure. tRNAs have two regions of fundamental functional importance: the anti-codon, which is responsible for specific mRNA codon recognition, and the 3' end, to which the tRNAs corresponding amino acid is attached (by aminoacyl-tRNA synthetases). tRNAs cope with the degeneracy of the genetic code in two manners: having more than one tRNA (with a specific anti-codon) for a particular amino acid; and 'wobble' base-pairing, i.e. permitting non-standard base-pairing at the 3rd anti-codon position. The record is from RNAcentral.
GAUAGCUCAGCUGGUAGAGCAAUGGACUGUUAAUCCAUUUGUCGGUGGUUCGAGCCCACC